Long non-coding RNA from Armigeres subalbatus, 425 nucleotides. RefSeq lists it as uncharacterized. NCBI's taxonomy places the organism in Eukaryota, Metazoa, Arthropoda, Insecta, Diptera, Culicidae. The transcript has 2 exons. The record is from RefSeq and is a predicted model, not a curated record.
AGCACUUCGGACCUGUUGACAGAUGUCAUUGCUUUUACGACAGGACAUACGACCUAUCGAAUCCAUCGAAUCAUACGAAAUUCUUUAAAGAAAUGUAAAUACCCAGAAACUUAGCACGUGCGAGUGCACCCCAGACACCCAACAGCAACGAAAUCAUAGCAAUCGAGCUGCAUGCGAGAAAUUCGGAAACUGCAUAUGGUGGUGGGAAACUGCUGAGAAUUUACAACAUGCGACAGUAUCCACCCCGUUGUCACCGGCACCGGGUAUUAGACCUACUGUUCAACGGAGGGCCUAGCAGAUUGUCUCGUCAACUAAUUCCAAACCGACUAUAGUACGACGCAUGAUUUGAUAUUGGCAUAUUUCAUAUUCGUAUAUGGUAUUUCAUAAUUAAUAAAAUAAAUUCAUAAUUCAAUAAGCCGAUACAA